RNAcentral lists this unclassified non-coding RNA (249 nucleotides) under uncultured fungus. RNAcentral describes it as "partial contains 5.8S ribosomal RNA, internal transcribed spacer 2, and large subunit ribosomal RNA". The stretch from base 1 to 52 matches the Rfam family "5.8S ribosomal RNA", at positions 103 to 154 of the family's 154-position model. The record is from RNAcentral. Lineage: Eukaryota; Fungi.
AACGCACAUUGCGCCCCUCGGUAUUCCGGGGGGCAUGCCUGUUCGAGCGUCAUUGCACCCCUCAAGCGUAGCUUGGUCAUGGGCGUCGCCUCCCCCGGCGCGCCCGAAAAGCAACGGCGGUCCGGCAGGGACUUCAAGCGUAGUAAAUUUCUCUCCCGCUUUGGAGGUCCCCGUCGGUCUGGCCGCGAACCCCCCUUGACAUACCAAUGAAUCGACCUCGGGUCAGGUAGGGAUACCCGCUGAACUUAA